This 695-nucleotide long non-coding RNA is filed under the name Anas platyrhynchos platyrhynchos (common mallard). Its description in RNAcentral is "lncRNA (ENSAPLG00000024077.1)". The record is from RNAcentral. Lineage: Eukaryota; Metazoa; Chordata; Aves; Anseriformes; Anatidae.
CACGCUGCCUGCGUCAUACUCGAGUGAUCUGCUUCCAUCAGGGAUUUACAAAAUGUAGCAGAAAAGAGCAGAAAGCCACUAAAUCCUGACAUUUGCCCCUUAGCAUCAGACAUUUGCGCUGGCGUAGGACUUUUGUGUUUAUCUCCCAGCAGAGCUGCUGGCUGCAUUACCAAACAGUAACAUUAUCCACUCGGGCUUUCCAAAAAUAGUCCGGGUUGUGCUCAGCAGGAGGACAAUCGUGUUUUGGCCUCUGCUUUGGGCAGAGGCGAAGACUGAAGGAGGAAAUCUCCGAGGCUGUGCUGGCCCUGAUUUGCUGUCAGCAGCGCGAUGCCUGUUUGUCCGACCUCACCCCCUGUGCCAUGGCCAUGUUUUAUUCCAGGAGGAGGAUCUCUUGAAACGCUCCACGCAGCACGGAGGAACAGCAGAUGCCUUCCCUGGGGCAGCAGGAAAAACUGAAGUCAUAUGAGAGCAGACCAUGCAUUGCCUGGUUUUGAUCACUUGGCAUACUCCGAACCAAACUCCUCAAAGUAAAUAUUUCCUAUGAAGAUCAUUAAGGGUGCGACCAACAUGUAAGGAACAGCAACAGGAAAAUACUGCUUUAAACCUAAUACCACAUCAUGUUGCAUUCAUUAGUUGCUUGACAUUGUAGCUGGAACAGGAAAAAAUAAAAAGGCACGGAGCAGAAAGAUACUUCA